This 21-nucleotide non-coding RNA is filed under the name Arabidopsis thaliana (thale cress). Lineage: Eukaryota; Viridiplantae; Streptophyta; Magnoliopsida; Brassicales; Brassicaceae. The record is from RNAcentral.
UGCGCUUCUGGUGGUUUUUAC